RNAcentral lists this non-coding RNA (198 nucleotides) under Rhodobacterales bacterium. Lineage: Bacteria; Pseudomonadati; Pseudomonadota; Alphaproteobacteria; Rhodobacterales. The record is from RNAcentral.
CCCUAGAUCGCAGGACCAAGUUCCGGCCCGCCGGAUGAAAAGGGAAUACGGAGGAACGCCUGCGUUCUGGCCGUAGCUGCCCCCGCAACUGUCAGCGGUGAGCGACGUCGAUCAUGCCACUGGGGCGGCAAAGCCCCGGGAAGGCCGGCAACGCUACGACCCGCGAGCCAGGAGACCUGCUUGGAGGAUCACCCUUUC